This 397-nucleotide ribosomal RNA is filed under the name uncultured bacterium. Its description in RNAcentral is "bacterial SSU rRNA". It matches the Rfam family "Bacterial small subunit ribosomal RNA", at positions 28 to 429 of the family's 1533-position model. The record is from RNAcentral.
GACGAACGCUGGCGGCGUGCUUAACACAUGCAAGUCGAGCGGUAAGGCCCUUUCGGGGGUACACGAGCGGCGAACGGGUGAGUAACACGUGGGUGACCUGCCCUCAGCUCUGGGAUAAGCCUGGGAAACUGGGUCUAAUACUGGAUAUGACUCCACGGUGCAUGUCGUGGGGUGGAAAGCCUUGUGCGGCUGAGGAUGGGCCCGCGGCCUAUCAGCUUGUUGGUGGGGUGANGGCCUACCAAGGCGACGACGGGUAGCCGGCCUGAGAGGGCGACCGGCCACACUGGGACUGAGACACGGCCCAGACUCCUACGGGAGGCAGCAGUGGGGAAUCUUGCGCAAUGGGCGAAAGCCUGACGCAGCGACGCCGCGUGAGGGAUGACGGCCUCGGUGUAAC